AGCUCGAGUUUCUCUUCAUUGUCGCAUAAAUCUUUCGCCUUUUACUAAAGAUUUCCGUGGAGGGGAGCUUUUGCGAGUGACCUGUUUUUUUGGGGGCUCUGCUCACAGCAGAGCU
This is a small nuclear RNA of Cyprinus carpio carpio, 115 nucleotides long. Its record names the gene U5. It matches the Rfam family "U5 spliceosomal RNA". Rfam says of the family: U5 RNA is a component of both types of known spliceosome. The precise function of this molecule is unknown, though it is known that the 5' loop is required for splice site selection and p220 binding, and that both the 3' stem-loop and the Sm site are important for Sm protein binding and cap methylation. The record is from Ensembl. Lineage: Eukaryota; Metazoa; Chordata; Actinopteri; Cypriniformes; Cyprinidae.